GUCUGGGGCUUAGUGGUAGAGUGCUUGCCUCACAUGUGUGAGGCACUGGGUUCAAUCAUCAGCCACAUA
Molecule: transfer RNA, 69 nt
Filed under: Marmota monax (woodchuck)
Lineage: Eukaryota; Metazoa; Chordata; Mammalia; Rodentia; Sciuridae
Description: tRNA.Val
Source: RNAcentral